Non-coding RNA from Potamilus streckersoni, 77 nucleotides. The record is from the annotation of a GenBank genome assembly. Lineage: Eukaryota; Metazoa; Mollusca; Bivalvia; Unionida; Unionidae.
GACCGCUCUGGUGGCCCAGUAGUUAGAGCGUCCGUAUUGUAUGCGGGUGGUCGUGGAUUGGAACCCCACUCGAGUCA